Lactuca sativa (garden lettuce) is the source of this 1547-nucleotide non-coding RNA. The record is from RefSeq and is a predicted model, not a curated record. NCBI's taxonomy places the organism in Eukaryota, Viridiplantae, Streptophyta, Magnoliopsida, Asterales, Asteraceae.
CUCGACCAAUGCAUCUCUUCCAUGUACCUAAUCAUUUUCCUGCUGCAGCAGACGCUUUGGUAAAUCCUGUUCUCCACCACCGCUCCCGUCUCCAAGAAACAAUUCACGUUUACCACUGGCUUCUUCCCCAAGAUACCACUGUAUGUACCGUCUCAAUUCUCUCUCCUUUGUUCCUCGUUCUCUCUCAAAAAUCACCGUCCCGAAAUAAUCUUCUCCCUCUGGUACGAAUACAACCAGUUUUUUGGCACACGCUUACGUUCUUCAUUUAUCGAUUAUCACCACAAUGUUAUGGAGAAAUGGUAUGAGGCAAAAUGAGGGUAUCCUGCAUCUACAAAUUUAUGACAUCACAAGUGUAAACCAGUUAUUCAAUAGAAAAUAGGUGGGAUUGUUAAUCACGAGUUUCAAGUACUAGCUUUCCUUUCUCGCUAAUGCUGUUUACAAACUCUUCCCUAUCUUUGUAUGCAUCCGACGCCAAUUCAAAAAAAGAAUACAAGAUAAGGAUCUGCAAAUUCACCAAAAAUGACCUCAAUCUCCUCUUACUCUUUCCACAUAAUAAACUUCACUUCCUAUUGCAUUCCUUCAAAAUGAAGUAAUUGGAAGGGCAAAAUGAGGGAGGAGGGUAGGAAAGGCAUAUAGUUGAUUUAAUUAAAAAGGCUUGUGAGUUUGCUGAGAAUAUCUCCAAUUGGUUGUAUCAUUUUUAAUGGUUUUGGUGCAGUUUGGAACACAACUAUGUUGAAUAGGGCCCAAAACUCAUUCUUCAAAAAGUUGAUUAACGACCCAUGAUUUAAUUGGUCAAGAAUGGAAACAUCACAGCUCCAUGGAAGCUAAUUAGAUGACACGCUUUUGGUUAGCGUUCACUUUUUUCUUUUAAAAUCUGAUAAUCUCGACUACAAAACAAUGAUUUAAUUGUUUUUAUGUUACAAAAAAGUACCGAAUAGAUUCAUUAUCUUACAGUCUUGAUACAUUGAUUAGGUUCUUCUAUUGUCUAUCAAAAUAAAUUUUAGCCUAAUCUAUUAAGACUUGCUAUGUCAAAGUAACUAAGACGUAAAUAGUAAAUUAAUGUUAUUUUUUUUAUCAAUCCCAAGCUAUGAAUGUGGAGAACACAUUAUGUUGAAAAUGAAGGAGGAAUUUAAUUACCAAAGUUUGUAAAAAAAAAUGAGACACACAUUGACAAGUUAUGAAAGUAGAGAUUCUCCUGAUAUAUUUUCUCAUGUUGAUUGAGAUUUUGUUUAUCAAAGAAAAGACAUGAAAACGAAAAUCAAAAAGAAUAUAUUUUUUUAUUUGGUUUUGAGAUGAUCAGGAUAAGGAUAAGGAAGGUAGAAUAUUUGAAUCUUUUAGCAUAUUAUAUACUUCCUUAUCCUGAUCAUCUCAAAAAGCCAAAAUAUGUUUUUUGAACUUCAUUGUGUUUUCAACAACAAAUAGAUUGAUUACAUUUCAACUGAACAAUGAUUUCCCAAUGUAAAAUUUUUUAUUACUUUUUCAACUGCUGUUGCCGCUUGCCAGGAAGAUCAAGGCGUAAUUGUCUAACAAUUUAGGAUUGGUAAAAA